This is a long non-coding RNA of Alosa alosa (allis shad), 1522 nucleotides long. RefSeq lists it as uncharacterized. The transcript has 3 exons. The record is from RefSeq and is a predicted model, not a curated record. Lineage: Eukaryota; Metazoa; Chordata; Actinopteri; Clupeiformes; Clupeidae.
GCAGGUGCGAGUCUGUCAAAUCAAGCUUUAUUUGCAGAAGUGACUUUCAGUGACAUUUGCAGUGUUCGCCCAGCAACCUUCUUAAUCACAUUUUCACCUUGCUCAGCUUUAAAGACCAACCUAAGAGGGCUUUUCAGAGACACCAUUCAGACCUUCAGGUGUGGAUCAAAUGAAAUAUGUCACCUAUCAGCUCUGAGGACUUCUAGCAUGUCUAUGAGAACAGACACAGCUGAGUUGGCAGUAUCCUGGGGCUUUGACAGUGAUUGUCCAGCUAUGAAAUAGGAAGGGAAGGAGGAAACGGCCAUGCCCUAUUCAUUUAAAGGAACAGCAGGGAACACACUGUCCACCAUUACUCUGUCAGGGUCACCUUUAUGGAUGUACCGGCACAGAUACUAUCCACACUGUACUUCACCUGCAGGCACACAAUUGGGCUGAUUUGAAACUCCACCACUCCCAUCCCAACUGGCCGAGCAGGGUGCCAACGACGCUAUGGUCUCGAGGUCAUCACACACUAACAUCACUGAAAGGUACAUCAGGGAGCACAAGCCUGCUAAAGCUGCUAUGUACAUUUCCUGUGUACAGUCCUCUUGGCCCAUAUUGCUUGUCCUUGAGUGAAGAGCAUGAAAGCAUUUCUGCAGUCCCACCCCCACACCAAGCAGGAACUACAAGCCGUCAGAUGGCAAGAUAGCUGUAAAGACACUUUGUGUACAGUAAACUUGUGUGGUCUUUAUUAGCACUUGUUUAAGCAACAUUGCCCUCCCAAUGCAAUCUUAAUGUCAUCACGCCACAAAAUAAGUAGUGUAUCCAUUGACAUGAAUGUAUUAUUUUCUUUUGUGCCACAAAUUUGAAUCAGUAACAACCUAAAGCACAGUUACAGUCAUGUGUCAUGGGGAAAUCCUUAAUGUUUGUAAAUGCUUUCUUUUGGCAAAACAUAUAAAACAUAUAAAUGUUGUGUUGGUUUAUGAGGACUCUUCCUCCGGUUGUCAGGACAGCUUACUUGCAGUUUUCAGGACGGCGCACUUGCCUGCCUUCACGCAGCGAUGUCCCAGCUGAAUAUUAAGCAGCACCUGGUACAGUGGAGCUGGCCUGUCCACUUUCCUCUCCAGCCGCAUGCACACCUGUCUCCAGCAUCUGUCCCCAUCACACUGGACAGCUGUCCCCGAAACUCACUCUAAUUACAGACAUAUCUUCCCACCACCUUCCCCGUACAUGUCUGCAUGUGGUGCCUGUGAGGGUGAAUGGAAACCCAAUAUAUCAUGGGAAAAUCAACAUGAACAUUUUCUGCUUUGAUGUGUCCUUGGAGUGGCCUCUAUAGGCCUGAUAUGCUCACAACACGGUUGAUUGAUCGAUUCCAUUAUUUUCGAAAAUAAUAAUAACAGUAAUGCAGUACUAUUUUGUGUUGUGAUAUAUUGGGUUAUUAUACAAGCAAUUUUAUGAGCUUCUAAUGAAGGAAUGACGGUCGAGUUACUUUCCUAUCAGGCAGCCCACAUCAGCAGUUUGCCUGCUGCUAGCACAAACACUA